CUGAUACAAUGAUGAUCCCAUAGUUCAGCUGAAUUCUGUGAUGAACAAACUGCUUUGUCUUUCGCUCCUAGCUGAUGUAUCCU
This is a small nucleolar RNA of Acipenser ruthenus (sterlet), 83 nucleotides long. RefSeq annotates it as small nucleolar RNA snR60/Z15/Z230/Z193/J17. The transcript has a single exon. NCBI's taxonomy places the organism in Eukaryota, Metazoa, Chordata, Actinopteri, Acipenseriformes, Acipenseridae. The record is from RefSeq and is a predicted model, not a curated record.